This 1484-nucleotide long non-coding RNA is filed under the name Mus spretus (western wild mouse). RNAcentral's name for it is "lncRNA (ENSMSPG00010041250.1)". The record is from RNAcentral. Lineage: Eukaryota; Metazoa; Chordata; Mammalia; Rodentia; Muridae.
CAUGGUAACAAGAUCAAACCAACCUUAAUAUAUAGGGAAUCCAAGGGUACAGUCAAAGGAGACACUGUCUUCCAGCAACUGGGCGAUGUGUUGGCAGAGCCUUGUCAGAUUGAACACUGGUCCUAAACUGGGAUUCAUAGGUGGUUAGAGCAGACUUCGUGUAAAAGCAUGGCUGGUGGACAAUAGAGCUGGUGGCCCUCUAGAGCCACGAGGAAGAGAACAGGUUUGGGAAAUUUCGCACAGCCAAGAGUUUGGUAGGAAUUGUUAGGAAGUCAGGCAGCAAUUCCUCCAGAUUAAUAAGAGCUUUAGCUACUCUAAGCAGUGUUAACAGCUGUUUGUGGGGCCUAGAGAGAUUGCUUAGCAAUGAAGAGUGCUUGCUGAAUUUGCAAAGCAUCUGAGUUUGGUUCCUCACUCCAACAUCCAGUAGCUCACAACUAGCUCCAGCUCCGGCUCCAGCGGCUGCCUCUGAGGGCAUAUAUAUAUAUACACAUACAUACAUAUAUAUGUAUAUAUACACACACAUACAUAUAUAUAUACAUACAUAUAUAUAUAUACAUAUAUAUAUAUGGUCUAUGUUUUCAGAAAGUAUAGAGACAAAGGUUCUUGGGGGAAAGUGCUCUUGUGUGUGUGUGAGAUGUGUUUGUGUAACAGGUUCCGUGUUGCUCAAACUGACAUUGUACUUGCAUUAUUGAGUGCCUGGUGUGGUGGUUUGAAUAGGAAUGCCACCCCCUCCCUCCGACUUGUGGAUUUUAAAACCUGGUCACCAGGGCAUGCCACCAUUUGAAAGGAUUAGGAGAUGUUGGAGGAAGUGUGUCAAUGGAGGUAGGUUCUGAGGGCUCAAGGACCCAAGUUAGGCCCAGCAUCUUUCUCUUCCUACUGCCUGUGGAUCUGGCUGUAGAACUCUGAGGGUCUUCUCUAGCACUGCGGCUGCUUAUAUGUCACCACACUACCUCCUAUGACCACAAUGGACUACACCUCUGAAACUGUUGCCUUGUGGGACUGAGCAACUGCUAGAUCCUUGGACUUCCAUUCACAGCUGCUGCUGACCAUUGUUGGGAGUCAGACUACAGACUGGAUGCUACACACUGAGUGAAUCACUUUGCUGGUUUCAGGAGAGAUCCCAGUCAAGAGGAGUGAAUACCACUCACAGGGUCAAAGGCAAGUGACCUGCUUGGAGAAACAGUCCACCUGCCCCGAGGAGAGCAGAACACCUCCACACCUUUUUCCUCUUCAUCCAAAGACUAAAAACUAGAUCUGAGUCCCUCCCAAAGGCAAAGGAAGAUGGAAGACUAUCAAGUGGAUGAAGUUUCCCAGCCUGCAAACUCAUCACAGCCUUGGCCCAGCAUCUUACCCAUCCUCCCUCCUCCAUCAUCUGAUGUAGGACUUGCUAUAAAUUGAUGGCUCCUACCUGUCAAUGCAAGAGAAGAUAGCACCCAGUGAAGCACCUUUCCGUUUUAGUUUGACAAUAAAUCUAUUCUGUCUCC